RNAcentral lists this unclassified non-coding RNA (249 nucleotides) under fungal sp. RNAcentral's name for it is "partial internal transcribed spacer region". The stretch from base 1 to 46 matches the Rfam family "Eukaryotic small subunit ribosomal RNA", at positions 1786 to 1831 of the family's 1831-position model. Lineage: Eukaryota; Fungi. The record is from RNAcentral.
AAGUCGUAACAAGGUCUCCGUUGGUGAACCAGCGGAGGGAUCAUUACUGAGUUAUCCAAAAACUCCCAACCCUAUGUGAACUUACCACUGUUGCCUCGGCGAGCUGCGCUACCCUGUAGCUACUUUUGUAGGGACCUGGGAGCGCGUUAUAGGCUCGCCAGAGGACCACUAAACUCUGUUUUAUUUUGUAUCUCUGAAUCUUACAACUGAAAUCAGUUAAAACUUUCAACAACGGAUCUCUUGGUUCUG